GGAAACGAAGAAUAAUACCCUAUAAAACCAUAAAAGACACAUGCUAGAACGGUCAAAGUGAUAGCGGUGUAAGAUGGACUUGCGUCUGAUUAGCUAGUUGGUGAGAUAAAAGCUCACCAAGGCAACGAUCAGUAGCCGGCUUGAGAGAGUGUACGGCCACAUUGGGACUGAGACACGGCCCAG
This 183-nucleotide ribosomal RNA is filed under the name uncultured Eubacteriales bacterium. RNAcentral describes it as "uncultured Clostridiales bacterium partial 16S ribosomal RNA". It matches the Rfam family "Bacterial small subunit ribosomal RNA", at positions 152 to 334 of the family's 1533-position model. Lineage: Bacteria; Bacillati; Bacillota; Clostridia; Eubacteriales. The record is from RNAcentral.